This 367-nucleotide unclassified non-coding RNA is filed under the name fungal sp. RNAcentral describes it as "partial internal transcribed spacer region". The stretch from base 1 to 46 matches the Rfam family "Eukaryotic small subunit ribosomal RNA", at positions 1786 to 1831 of the family's 1831-position model. Lineage: Eukaryota; Fungi. The record is from RNAcentral.
AAGUCGUAACAAGGUUUCCGUAGGUGAACCUGCGGAAGGAUCAUUAACACUUUUAUCCUUUUAUCCAAACCCCAAUGUGAACUUGUCUUCUACCCCUUUUUCAGUUUUCACUCUUUAUUGAGUGAGGACUUUGUGAAAGGGCCCUCAAGUUUUUUCUUCUCUUCUUAUCUUUCUUCUAAGAAAGGGUUGUUUGAUGAAGGAGAAACGGUAUUCCUUUUCAUUUUCUUUAACUCCUAUAAUCAACCUUAACUGUUGAACUAAAUCCAAUCGCUUCUUACUUUUUCCUUUGUAACAAAAGGAGAGAGAGGAUAGUGAGUGAUCUUACGUAAUGUAUGAACAACUCUUAGCAAUGGAUAUCUUGGUUCUC